AACGAACGCUGGCGGCAGGCCUAAUACAUGCAAGUCGAACGCCGUAGCAAUACGGAGUGGCAGACGGGUGAGUAACGCGUGGGAAUCUUCCUAAUGGUACGGAAUAGCCCGGGGAAACCCGGAGUAAUACCGUAUACUCCCGUGAGGGGAAAGAUUUAUCGCCAUUAGAUGAGCCCGCGUCGGAUUAGCUAGUUGGUGGGGUAAUGGCCUACCAAGGCAACGAUCCGUAGCUGGUCUGAGAGGAUGAUCAGCCACACUGGGACUGAGACACGGCCCAGACUCCUACGGGAGGCAGCAGUAGGGAAUAUUGGACAAUGGGCGAAAGCCUGAUCCAGCCAUGCCGCGUGAGUGAUGAAGGCCUUCGGGUUGUAAAGCUCUUUUGGCGGGGACGAUAAUGACGGUACCCGCAGAAUAAGCCCCGGCUAACUUCGUGCCAGCCGCCGCCGUAACAC
RNAcentral lists this ribosomal RNA (452 nucleotides) under uncultured bacterium. Its description in RNAcentral is "bacterial SSU rRNA". It matches the Rfam family "Bacterial small subunit ribosomal RNA", at positions 29 to 526 of the family's 1533-position model. The record is from RNAcentral.